This 546-nucleotide ribosomal RNA is filed under the name uncultured Glomeromycotina. RNAcentral describes it as "SSU rRNA". It matches the Rfam family "Eukaryotic small subunit ribosomal RNA", at positions 548 to 1098 of the family's 1831-position model. The record is from RNAcentral. Lineage: Eukaryota; Fungi; Glomeromycota.
UUGGAGGGCAAGUCUGGUGCCAGCAGCCGCGGUAAUUCCAGCUCCAAUAGCGUAUAUUAAAGUUGUUGCAGUUAAAAAGCCCGUAGUUGAAUUUCGGGAUUAGUACGCUGGUCGUGCCUUCGGUGCGUACUGGUGUUACUGAUUUCUACCUUCUGACGAACCAUCAUGUCAUUAAUUUGGUGUGGUGGGGAAUCAGGACUGUUACUUUGAAAAAAUUAGAGUGUUUAAAGCAGGCUCGCGCUUGAAUACAUUAGCAUGGAAUAAUGAAAUAGGACGUUGAUCCUAUUUUGUUGGUUUCUAGGAUUGACGUAAUGAUUAAUAGGGAUAGUUGGGGGCAUUAGUAUUCAAUUGUCAGAGGUGAAAUUCUUGGAUUUAUUGAAGACUAACUACUGCGAAAGCAUUUGCCAAGGAUGUUUUCAUUAAUCAAGAACGAAAGUUAGGGGAUCGAAGACGAUCAGAUACCGUCGUAGUCUUAACCAUAAACUAUGCCGACUAGGGAUCGGAUGAUGUUAUUUUUAAUGACUCAUUCGGCGCCUUACGGGAAAC